CUACGGGAUGCAGCAGUUAGGAAUAAUCUACAAUGCGCGCAAGCGUGAUAGUUUGAGCCAGGGUGUCUGUCAUUCGACAGACUUUUGUGGAAUGUAAAAAGUUCUACGAAUAAGGACUGGGUAAGACUAGUGCCAGCCGCCGCGGUAAUACUAGCGGUCCAAGUCGCAGCCAUUUUUAUUGGGUCUAAAACAUCCGUAGCUUGCUUGAUAAGUUUCUUGUGAAAUUUUAUGUCUCAAACAUGAAGCGUGCAAGAAGUACUGUCAAGCUAGAGACUGGUAGACGUAAGAAGUAUGUUCAGAGUAGCGGUAAAAUGUGUUAAUCCUGGACAGACUCACAAUAGCGAAGGCAUCUUACGAGGACAGUUCUGACAGUAAGGGAUGAAGGCUAGGGGCGCAAAACGGAUUAGAUACCCUCGUAGUC
RNAcentral lists this ribosomal RNA (421 nucleotides) under uncultured archaeon. RNAcentral's name for it is "partial 16S ribosomal RNA". It matches the Rfam family "Archaeal small subunit ribosomal RNA", at positions 323 to 746 of the family's 1478-position model. The record is from RNAcentral.